Long non-coding RNA from Eriocheir sinensis (Chinese mitten crab), 1007 nucleotides. RefSeq lists it as uncharacterized. The record is from RefSeq and is a predicted model, not a curated record. The transcript is spliced from 4 exons. NCBI's taxonomy places the organism in Eukaryota, Metazoa, Arthropoda, Malacostraca, Decapoda, Varunidae.
GUGUGUUCCCUGUGUUGCGUGGGGUGUUGCCAAGCCUUACCCCAACACAUAACACCUUCCCAGGCUCUCCUAACACUGCCCUUCACUCCCCUGACCCAACACAAAGACAGGAACAUUUUAAGGGUGUUUCUGAGGUGUUGUGUGUUCCCUGUGUUGCGUGGGGUGUUGCCAAGCCUCACCCCAACACAUAACACUUUCCCAGGCUCUCCUAACACUGCCCUUCACUCCCCUGACCCAACACAAAGACAGGAACAUUUUAAGGGUGUUUCUGUGGUGUUGUGUGUUCCCUGGGGUGUUGCCAAGCCUUACCCCAACACAUAACACCUUCCCAGGCUCUCCUAACACUGCCCUUCACUCCCCUGACUCAACACAAAGACAGGAACAUUUUAAGGGUGUUUCUGAGGUGUUGUGUGUUCCCUGUGUUGCGUGGGGUGUUGCCAAGCCUUACCCCAACACAUAACACCUUCCCAGGCUCUCCUAACACUGCCCUUCACUCCCCUGACCCAACACAAAGACAGGAACAUUUUAAGGGUGUUUCUGAGGUGUUGUGUGUUCCCUGUGUUGCGUGGGGUGUUGCCAAGGCUUACCGCAACACAUAACACCUAUGCUAGGCUACCAACACACUGCCAUUCACUCCCAUGACCCAACACAGAGACAGCAACAUUUAGAGGGUGCUUCUGAGGUGUUGUGUGUUCCCUGUGUUGCGUGGGGUGUUGCCAAGGCUUACCGCAACACAUAACACCUUGCUAGGCUACCAACACACUGCCCUUCAUUCCCCUGACCCAACACAAAGACAGGAACAUUUAGACAGUCUUGAGGGACCCUUGUUGGGAGUCGUCCUAUGUCCACGGUUGUCCCUGGCUUGUGAAACGACAGGAGGACACUUCAGGAUAGUACCAUUGUUGACGCUCGUGGGAAUGUGUUGAUACUGGCUUGCAAAAUUUGACACCCCUCCUUCUCACACACACACACACACACACACACACACACACACACACACACACACA